Molecule: ribosomal RNA, 253 nt
Filed under: uncultured bacterium
Lineage: Bacteria
Description: partial 16S ribosomal RNA
Rfam family: Archaeal small subunit ribosomal RNA
Source: RNAcentral
UACCAGCACCCCGAGUGUUCGGGACGAUUAUUGGGCCUAAAGCAUCCGUAGCCGGUCCUACAAGUCUUCCGUUAAAUCCACCUGCUUAACAGAUGGGCUGCGGAAGAUACUAUAGGGCUAGGAGGCGGGAGAGGCAAGCGGUACUCAGUGGGUAGGGGUAAAAUCCUCUGAUCCAUUGAAGACCACCAGUGGCGAAGGCGGCUUGCCAGAACGCGCUCGACGGUGAGGGAUGAAAGCUGGGGGAGCAAACCGG